GGUUACUACAGCGGUGGGGGAGGCCAAGGUGGAGUCUUGCUGUGGAAGGAAGCCAUUACUCCUACUGGUCAAGUAGCCAGCGAGCCAGUCUUCCUCCACACCCCAACCCCACUCCCCCCUCUAUUGGCGGAGAGAGAGAGGCCAAGGAGGGAGAUCCACUCCGUCCGAUGGCGAUGGCGCCGCCGCGUCUGCUGCGGGGCCUCAUCGCGCCGAUGUCGCCGGCGGACUGGCUGCCCUGCCACCUCCAGCUGCUGGCCUCGUCCGCCUCGCUCCUGCACCGCUGGUGGCUCCCCUCGCUCGCGCGCCUCCGCUGCCCCUCCUGCUCCGACGGAUUCAAGCUCUUCCUCGUCCUGCUCCUCUUCUCCGCCGCCCUCGCCGAGGUCCGCUUCGUCGCCUCCGCCUCCAUGGCGCCCACCCUCCGCCCGGGCGACCGCGCCGUCGCAGAAAAAGUCACCUACAUGUUCCGGAAGCCAUCUGCCGGGGAUGUAGUCUUCUUCCGGGUGCCCGCCGCCCUGCAGAAUUGCGGCAUAAAUAAAGAUGUUGUAUUUAUUAAGAGGGUUGUUGCCACCCCUGGAGAUUUCAUCGAGGUCCGACAAGGCCAGCUUAUUGUUAAUGGUGUUGCACAAAAUGAACAUUACACCGCACCCCAUGGUGGGUCGGACACGAUGGAAGCCAUGGUCCAGAGAUACUUGUAUACCCAAAUUCCUAUGGGUCACUACCACACAAACAAAUGACUUUACCACUGCAAGAGGAGGACCAAAAGUGGCAUGGCUGCUCCGUGUUGUUGACUUCUUGACUGCCUUGUUAUUCUUUCGAGAUGACGGGCCUCAGAUGGUGGAUGAUCUCUCCCUCCCAUCCCAUCCCUGUUAUCUGCUCGACCUAUGCCCGGAUCAAUCUGAUACUAAAACAAUCCAUCGUCCUGCAGCGCCUCCCUGAAGACCAUGUAUUCGUCAUGGGUGAUAACCGCAAUAACAGCUGCGAUUCUCGUGCCUGUUUGUGGUGACAGGGGACCUCUUCCUAUCAGCAACAUUGUUGGGAGACACAUCAUGUCCUUUACAAGAUCCUCCCUCCAAUAGCCAAGGCGAAGAUCUUCGACGGCCACCAGAGUUGCCAAACCCCUCCUCGAUGCCACUCGAUAUGAUGUAAUCGAGCUAUGUUGGGCCUCGAGCCCCUAGUAUGUAAAUCUGUGAGACCUUCCUUUCCUGUCUUAGCACGGGACCGUUGUAUGUGUAGUGACUUAAUCCCGGGGAGCACUGAAUAGUGACUUGUAGCUGUUGUCACUCACCCCCCACGGCCCCACCCCUGGACUGUCAGCUGUUAAGCUUACCUGUUGGUAGAACCUGCAAGAUGUACCUAAAGGUUACACCUUCUAGUAACCUUAGCUGUCGAAUCUAAUCGGUAAUGUUAUUAUUACCAUGCACCGUGUGCUUGGCUGUCAAUCAAAAAAGGAAAAAUCUGCAUGCCUGAAGAUAAGUCUGUUUGUCUGA
Molecule: RNA transcript, 1487 nt
Organism: Triticum aestivum (bread wheat)
Lineage: Eukaryota; Viridiplantae; Streptophyta; Magnoliopsida; Poales; Poaceae
Gene name: chloroplast processing peptidase
Exons: 6
Source: RefSeq, a predicted model, not a curated record